AAAUCAUAGACUCUUGUCUGUUUUGGGCGUCGCGCUUCUGCGUCGCCUCGAAGCCAUUGCUGUCGAACGGACGAGAUCCUUUGGGACUAUGCCGCUAGACUUGGGAAAAACUUCUUUGA
Molecule: unclassified non-coding RNA, 119 nt
Filed under: uncultured Archaeorhizomycetes
Lineage: Eukaryota; Fungi; Ascomycota; Archaeorhizomycetes
Description: sequence contains ITS2
Source: RNAcentral